Long non-coding RNA from Brachypodium distachyon (stiff brome), 355 nucleotides. RefSeq lists it as uncharacterized. Lineage: Eukaryota; Viridiplantae; Streptophyta; Magnoliopsida; Poales; Poaceae. The record is from RefSeq and is a predicted model, not a curated record. The transcript has 3 exons.
GCCGAGGCUGCAAACCGAAGAACGGAAAAAUGAUAUAGCAUUAUGAGGCUAUCUAAUUGGCUCGUACAUAGGCAGCCAGAGGAUGUGGAUCAUGGAAUUGGCAUGAUUGAAGUCGAGCUGAGCAAGGCGCAGCCGGCCACAAAGGAGAGGAGUUCCUGGAGGAUAUGAAGUUGGGGGCCGCUUGGCUUCACGCUUCCGAGACUCAAUCCAGUUUCUUCGUUGCCAGUUGCGGAGCAGUCAAGCUCAGGGUACAUACUGUAAUUGAUUUUGAUUUGCAUAAGGAGCAGGAGCAGCGGGCCCUAAGGUACAUACUCUCUUGUUACUCAGAUAUGUAUACAUAAUCCUAUGCCCUUUG